Molecule: unclassified non-coding RNA, 200 nt
Filed under: soil metagenome
Description: partial contains internal transcribed spacer 2 and large subunit ribosomal RNA
Source: RNAcentral
GGUCGCUUGAAAUGCAGGUGCGGCUGGACACAUCUUCUGAGCUAUAAGCAUUACUUAUUUAAUCCCGUUAAACGGAUUAUUUCUAUUGCUGCAGCUAACAUAAAGGUUGAUUGUCCUUGUGCCCGACUGAUGCAGGAAACAAAGAGACAAUCUUUGUUCAACUCGAUCUCAAAUCAAGUAAGACUACCCGCUGAACUUAA